GCUCUCCCGGUCUCGCGUCGUUACUCCUGCGUGAAGCGGUGAGUCGCGCGCGGAUCGGCGACUCACUCUGGGGGUCUCCGCCGCUGAACCCUCCUGAAAGACUGACUGGCGGAAACUGGGACUGGAGUGUGAGCAUCUGAGGGGCUCUCCAGUGGGGUUUGGAGAGGAAUGUCUCAAAUGACUUUUCUUGAAAGCUGAGGGAGGUUUUGAAGAUCAAGUGAAGGAAGAGGGCCUAGCUCGUCUGCUGGUGGCAUCUUCUCAUCAAUCAUGUCAUCAAUUGCUAGAAAUAUGAGAACUCUCCAGAAGAUCAAGUACCGUGUAGUAGUUACCAUGCACAGGCCCCAUAGAGCCCUGGCCUUUGAGAAUGCCCUAUUCACCAACCCAAAAGAAGGUCCCAUGUGACAAAGUUUGGAUUAGACAUUACAAAUGGCUUCCAAUGGACUACUUGCCAGACUUUGUCAUGGGAACCAUCUGACGAGCAGAACAAAGUGCAAGUGCAUAAGCAACUUCCAAUGAGAACCUAUGUAUGGGCUUGGCCCAGGUAUCUUGAAACCCUGGGAAGACCUAAAUAUAAACAAAAUUUUGCAAAGGAGAAGGGAAUCAUGAACAAAUCACCUUUCUAUAAGACACCACAAACGAUGACUGGAGAUCUGAAUUGGAAAUGCCACUGCAGCCCUGUGACCCAAGGCUCUGGAAUGGAUCAGCCCUCCUACUCACUCCCUCCUGCACACACUGCGUCUCCAUGGAAACAGCUUGUCAGGCCCUGUUUGGCUGCAGGUUCUGAAGACCUCUCAUCAGCAGCCCCAGUCCUGCACAGAUUCAGUCUUAAUAAGCCAGGCUUCUAAGGAGGAACUUGCACUAGGAGGCCCAUCCUCUCUAGCUGGUGAGGUCUGGAAUUGUCCUUAAGUCUCCUUUGGGGUAUACCUGGGGAGUCCUGAAUGCCACUGAGUUGCCCUGACCUUCCAACACUGAUAUUCAGGUCAAUGGCAGGGUUUCCAUCCUAGGUUCCUGCUUCAACCUGAACUCAUCAUCUCCUUCCAGCAAGCCUUCUGCUCCCAUCAUCUCUCCCCACCCACCAAAGGUGAAAGUCAUUCUGAGCUCUACAGGCCCCACCUGUGGCUAAUCACCAAGGUCAGUUGGUAACUACUUUUGUAUCACUCAACCUCAUCUUUCUUACAUCCCUAUUGCCUCUGCUAUAGUUCAGGCCCACAUUAUUUUCUUCUUCAAUUACUGCAAGAUCCUCCAACCUGGUCCUCCUACUUCUAUACUUGCUUUCCUUACAUCCAAUCUCCAUAUUACAACCAGUGAGAAAACUUCCUGAAAAAACAGAUCUGACACGUCCUUCUCCCACAGAAAGUCAGUGGUUCCCAUUGCCCUCAGGAUAGAACUUAGACCCUCUUACAUACACACAAGAUUACACCUUUAAUCUGACCCCUGCUCACCUCUCCAGGAUCAUCUCUUGCCCCUUCCCCUGCAUAUUCUGAUCUUGGCCACACCAAACCACUUACCUUCUCCAAUGAACCACCUGUUCUCUCUUGCCUCUGUGACUUUUCACUGUUGCCUCCUUCACCUGGAGUGUCCCUUCUCCAUGCCCCACCGCCCCCAUAAACCUUUCACAUUCUUGGGGAAGCUUUUCCAACUGUCAAAUAUUAAGUGCCUCUUCUAUGUUCUCUUAGAGCUCCUAUGUUUACUCCCUUUCUGCUGAACUGUCAACUCCCUGAGGGCAAGGAAUAUGCCAACCUCUAGUUCAGUGCCUAAUAUAAUCACUCAAAU
Long non-coding RNA from Eubalaena glacialis (North Atlantic right whale), 1773 nucleotides. RefSeq lists it as uncharacterized. The transcript has 6 exons. The record is from RefSeq and is a predicted model, not a curated record. Lineage: Eukaryota; Metazoa; Chordata; Mammalia; Artiodactyla; Balaenidae.